RNAcentral lists this ribosomal RNA (450 nucleotides) under uncultured bacterium. RNAcentral's name for it is "partial 16S ribosomal RNA". It matches the Rfam family "Bacterial small subunit ribosomal RNA", at positions 354 to 796 of the family's 1533-position model. The record is from RNAcentral.
GUGGGGAAUAUUGGACAAUGGGCGAAAGCCUGAUCCAGCCAUGCCGCGUGUGUGAAGAAGGUCUUCGGAUUGUAAAGCACUUUAAGUUGGGAGGAAGGGCAGUAAGUUAAUACCUUGCUGUUUUGACGUUACCGACAGAAUAAGCACCGGCUAACUUCGUGCCAGCAGCCGCGGUAAUACGAAGGGUGCAAGCGUUAAUCGGAAUUACUGGGCGUAAAGCGCGCGUAGGUGGUUUUGUAAGUUGGAGGUGAAAUCCCCGGGCUCAACCUGGGAACUGCCUCCGAAACUGCAUGACUAGAGUACGGUAGAGGGUAGUGGAAUUUCCUGUGUAGCGGUGAAAUGCGUAGAUAUAGGAAGGAACACCAGUGGCGAAGGCGACUACCUGGACUGAUACUGACACUGAGGUGCGAAAGCGUGGGGAGCAAACAGGAUUAGAUACCCGGGUAGUCC